RNAcentral lists this ribosomal RNA (454 nucleotides) under uncultured Parabacteroides sp. Its description in RNAcentral is "partial 16S ribosomal RNA". It matches the Rfam family "Bacterial small subunit ribosomal RNA", at positions 341 to 792 of the family's 1533-position model. Lineage: Bacteria; Pseudomonadati; Bacteroidota; Bacteroidia; Bacteroidales; Tannerellaceae. The record is from RNAcentral.
ACGGGAGGCAGCAGUGAGGAAUAUUGGUCAAUGGGCGGAAGCCUGAACCAGCCAAGUCGCGUGAAGGAUGAAGGUAUUAUGUAUUGUAAACUUCUUUAGACGUAGAGAAAUAAGCCCCUCGUGAGGGGUGAUGCUAGUAUACGUAGAAUAAGGAUCGGCUAACUCCGUGCCAGCAGCCGCGGUAAUACGGAGGAUCCGAGCGUUAUCCGGAUUUAUUGGGUUUAAAGGGUGCGCAGGCGGCCCUGUAAGUCAGCGGUGAAAUGUCGGGGCUCAACCCCGGCAGUGCCGUUGAUACUGUCGGUCUUGAGUGCGGUGAAGGCAGGCGGAAUGCAGUGUGUAGCGGUGAAAUGCGUAGAUAUGCUGCAGAACUCCGAUAGCGAAGGCAGCUUGCCGUACCUGCACUGACGCUCAUGCACGAAAGCGUGGGGAUCAAACAGGAUUAGAUACCCUGGUA